RNAcentral lists this ribosomal RNA (253 nucleotides) under uncultured bacterium. RNAcentral describes it as "partial 16S ribosomal RNA". It matches the Rfam family "Bacterial small subunit ribosomal RNA", at positions 524 to 776 of the family's 1533-position model. The record is from RNAcentral.
UACGGAGGGUGCAAGCGUUAAUCGGAAUUACUGGGCGUAAAGCGCACGCAGGUGGCUGUGUCAGUCGAUUGUGAAAUCCCCGGGCUCAACCUGGGAACUGCAUUUGUGACUGCAUCGCUGGAGUGCGGCAGAGGGGGAUGGAAUUCCGCGUGUAGCAGUGAAAUGCGUAGAUAUGCGGAGGAACACCGAUGGCGAAGGCAAUCCCCUGGGCCUGCACUGACGCUCAUGCACGAAAGCGUGGGGAGCAAACAGG